CUGUUGUUCUGUUCUUUAAUCUGAUUCAGUUCUGAAGACAGUUUAUUGUUUUCAUUCCUCAUGGCAUAGUACUCUGCAUAGAUGUGAUUCAAGUUAUUGAUACAGGCUUCCAGUUCUGAAGUCAGCCUGUUGUUCUGUUCCUGAAUCUGAUUCCGUUCUGAAAACAGUGUGAGGCAUUGGAUCCUCAUGAUAUCGUACUUUGCAAAGAGUUGAUUGGAGUCAUUGAUAGAGGAGUUCAGUUCUGAAAUCAGCCUGUUGUUCUGUUCCUGAAUCAUCUUGGUUUCUAUGGACACCGUGUUAUCAGGGUCCAUGAUUAUCUCCACUUCACUUUCUCUGACUUCUGCCUGUAUCUCAUGGAGUUGUUUUGGUCUGUCAGAGUCACAUUUCAUGUCAGGGUGUUGGGAGUUGUUCACUAUAACAAAAGGUGUUUGUUUCCAGCGCCCCCUUUGACCACUCUGUGUCACUGCAUGUGCACAACUCUCAGACGUUUCUCUUUGGGGCUGUGACUCUGUUUUCUCUCCAUUUUCCAUGGGACAGUAUGCUUCUUUCACCUUCUUUUCAAGAUCUUUGACGAUUUCCUUCUGUUUCUUGCACUCGCUCUGUGCUAGUUCCAGUUGUCUCUUAGUGGAAGCAUUUUCUUUCUGCAUUUUUCUCAAAAUAUAUUUCAGUCGUGUGUUUUCAUACGACAGACUUUUGGUGUCCGUAAACCGGCUUUGGCCCCCACGCGAUGCCAUUUGCUUAAAGGAUGAGUUGGUUUUGCAGGUGAAUGUUUGGUCUUUAAAGUUUGCUGUUCAGCUGAAGACACCAGAGAUCAUCCUGAGGGACGAAGGGCCCGACUGGCAGAGAGUACUGGGAUACGUAGAAAGCAUUUUCUGUCAUUUUGAGAUGUGAGGUCAUCCUUCAUCAUCAUUCUUCCUCCACUGGCUUUGUUUUCCUGGUCAGAAGAUGAAGAACUGAACUAAAGUUUACAUGAGGAAUGAGAUCGACCGUAAUUUAAAAAGCCAGGGUUUUAAACAUGACAAUAUUUGACUAAAGCUCAGCCAUUUUUAACCUUUGGGCACAUUUAGUUCACUUCCCUGCACAGCUGUGAUAGUGGACAGACACAUAUCACUGAUUCAGCACAUUCUGCCUUUAAAUGAAACCACUGAGCACUUUAUAAUUAUUAUCUUGGUGGAUCACGUAGUUUCAUCUUUCCUGAGUUUCCUUUUUGAUCAGAAACGUCUCCCAC
This 1228-nucleotide long non-coding RNA is filed under the name Gouania willdenowi (blunt-snouted clingfish). RNAcentral describes it as "lncRNA (ENSGWIG00000018442.1)". The record is from RNAcentral. Lineage: Eukaryota; Metazoa; Chordata; Actinopteri; Blenniiformes; Gobiesocidae.